UGGGGAAUAUUGCACAAUGGGCGAAAGCCUGAUGCAGCAACGCCGCGUGAGUGAUGAAGGCCUUCGGGUUGUAAAGCUCUGUCUUUUGGGACGAUAAUGACGGUACCAAAGGAGGAAGCCACGGCUAACUACGUGCCAGCAGCCGCGGUAAUACGUAGGUGGCAAGCGUUGUCCGGAUUUACUGGGCGUAAAGGAUGCGUAGGCGGAUUUUUAAGUGAGAUGUGAAAACCCUAAGCUUAACUUGGGGACUGCAUUUCAUACUGGAAAUCUAGAGUGCGGGAGAGGAGAAUGGAAUUCCUAGUGUAGCGGUGAAAUGCGUAGAGAUUAGGAAGAACACCAGUGGCGAAGGCGAUUCUCUGGACCGUAACUGACGCUGAGGCAUGAAAGCGUGGGUAGCAAACAGGAUUAGAUACCCUGGUAGUCCACGCCGUAAACGAUGAGUACUAGGUGUAGGAGGUAUCGACCCCUUCUGUGCCGCAGUUAACACAAUAAGUACUCCGCCUGGGAAGUACGAUCGCAAGAUUAAAACUCAAAGGAAUUGACGGGGUCAAGCUGUUUCCUG
Molecule: ribosomal RNA, 562 nt
Filed under: uncultured bacterium
Lineage: Bacteria
Description: partial 16S ribosomal RNA
Rfam family: Bacterial small subunit ribosomal RNA
Source: RNAcentral